AGCAUGCAACUUGGCUUCACCUGUCAAAGGCGCUUUUUUCGAAGACGCCCGGGAGCUCUUGCUUUUGCUUGAGGGUCUUUGGUGUUGACUGAGAGCGAAUUAAAAGGUUCUCAGCUUUCGCUAAGGAACGCAUUCUGGAGUCUAGAACAGGCGAAGAUGGGACUGGGGUGUCUGGGGACUUAGACGUGAGCGAGCAAGGGAAUCCGGGAUGUUGUAAAAGUUGUUGAGUUCUGGAUUUGAUUCUCAGCUUGGUCGCUGUUGGUGCAUAGAAGAGCUACUAAUUUGUGUACGUCGGAAACUUUGCCGAAUUGGACUACAUUUCUAGAAAUGGAUUCCUGAAUUAAAAGAGAUGCUUCUCUUAAAUAUUUAUGUAAAGUUACUCUCAGAAAGGUUGUAAGUGGAUUCCUCCCACCAAAAGUAUUGUGAAUGAAUAUCUUCUUAAAAUUUACAAUUGUUUUGACCAUUUCCCAGUCCUUAAACCAAUGAUAACAUUUUAUUUUCUUUUUCUUUUUUCUUUUCUUUCUUUCUUUUUUUUUUUUUUUUUUGAGACAGAGUUUUGCUCUAGUUGCCCAGGCUGGAGCAAUGGCACGAUCUUGGCUCACCGCAACCUCCACCUCCCAGGUUCAAGCGAUUCUCCUCCCUCAGCCUUCCCAAGUAGCUGGGACUACAGACAUGCGCCACCAAGCCCAGCUAAUUUUGUAUUUUUAGUAGAUAUGGGGCUUCUCCAUGUGGGUCAGGCUGGUCUUGAACUCCCAACCUCAGGUGAUCCGCCCACCUCAGCCUCCCAAAGUGCUGGGAUUACAGGCGUGAGCCACUGCGCCCGGCCUUUAUUUUCAUAAUAUUUCCAUGUCUUUUAUUUCUCAUAAGCUUACAUAUGCAUUCAAGUAUUUAUUGGUCAUUUUCAAUUUUUCCUUCUAAGAGUCUAUAUUCUUUACCUAUUUCUACACAUUUUUGUAUUCAUCUAUAUGUUGAUUUGUUUUAAAUUUAUUAUCUGUUUGUUGUAUCUGAAAUAUUUUCCCUUAGUUUAUUUGCUACUUAAAUUUGAGGGAGGCAGGGAAGUUUACUGAAACAUACUUUAUAUUUUCUAUAAUUUAUUAACUAUUUACUUCAUAAUUUGUGUUUUGGCUGUCAAGCCUACAGACCAAAAUUAUAAUAACAUCAAUUUGUAAUUUGAUAAGCACUCUGGUAGUCUAUUUUUAAGUUAUACAUGUCGUGAACAUUAUUUGUUUUAAUGUGUGAGGGAUGGAAGUUACUUUAUUUUUCCAGGUGGUUAACUAGUUAACACAGAUUAUUGCUUUUCUGUAAUACUUUUACUGAGAUAUAAUUCAUAUACUCUAAAACUCACCCAUUUAAAGUGUACAAUUCAGUAGAUUCUUUUUUAUUUCUUUGAGACAGAGUUUUGCUCUUGUUGCCCAGGUUGGAGUUCAAUGGCGUGAUCUCAGCUCACUGAGAUUAUUGCUUUUCUGUAAUACUUUUACUGAGAUAUAAUUCAUAUACUCUAAAACUCACCCAUUUAAAGUGUACAAUUCAGUAGAUUCUUUUUUAUUUCUUUGAGACAGAGUUUUGCUCUUGUUGCCCAGGUUGGAGUUCAAUGGCGUGAUCUCAGCUCACUGCAACCUCCGCCUCCUGGGUUCAAGCGACUCUCCUGCCUCAGCCUCCCGAUUAGCUGGGAUUACAGGCACCUGCCAUCACGCCUGGCUAAUUUUUGUAUUUUUUAGUAAAGACAGGGGUUUCACCAUGUUGGCCAUGCUGGUCUUGAACUCCUGACCUCAGGUGAUCUGCCCACCUCAGUCUCCCAAAGUGCUGGGAUUACAGGUGUGAGCCACCGUGCCUGGCCGAAUUCAGUAGUUUCUAGUUUAUUCAAAGAGCUAUGCAACCAUCAUCACAAUCAAUUUUAGAACAUUUUCAUUGCCCAAAAAGACACCAAUACCCACUAGCAAUCAUCAUUUUCAGCCACUCCAUGGGCUACAGGGAUCUUUUCUGUUAUUGCACUUGUUCUAUAUUCAUAUUUCAUGUAAUAAACAUGCAUUGCUUUUGUAAUUACAAAGU
RNAcentral lists this long non-coding RNA (2049 nucleotides) under Homo sapiens (human). Its description in RNAcentral is "non-protein coding lnc-LYPD5-1:1". Lineage: Eukaryota; Metazoa; Chordata; Mammalia; Primates; Hominidae. The record is from RNAcentral.